Molecule: long non-coding RNA, 818 nt
Organism: Panicum virgatum (switchgrass)
Lineage: Eukaryota; Viridiplantae; Streptophyta; Magnoliopsida; Poales; Poaceae
Exons: 3
Source: RefSeq, a predicted model, not a curated record
CAGAUAAUUUCUCUUUUCUUGAUGUAAUCCUCCUGUUUGUUACUGCCAUUCAAACUAUUGUUUGUUCCCUUGCUUGUUGUGUAACUUUAUUGAUAAUAAUGGUAUAACCAUUUUACCAUCAGUGCAUAAUAUAUCUACUGAAAUUAGCUUGUUAACUUUAAGGUUGUACAAAGCUGUGCUAUGGUUCAGUCAUAUUAUUUCCUCUUCAUGAGCAUGUACUGUUAUAUUGAUAGUUCCUCUGGAAAUUGCUUUUCCGAUGGUAUUUCAUACAGGUCUCACCUAAAGUAAUAGGCCUCCUCUCCCGUCUGACUGGAGCAUGCUGAGGACAAUGGCCUUUCCCUCAAGACCACUUGCUCCUUUGCAAAUGACGCCGAGUGCAAGCCUCUGAUAUGCAGUAUGCAUAUUCUUGCAAGGGUGCGUUGCUGAUUGACUGGCCAAAUUAGGCACUGAAUUAUAAAAAGUUCAUGCGGAAAAUAUGCUUUGCAGAGUAGGAGUGAUGUGUCACUCCUGUAUGUUGAUCUGACGAUGAGUCACUUUGGUAACAGCAGCCUGGUGAGAUGAACUAAUAUCAACGCCCCGUUCGACUGGGUGGGAAAGAACCCCAGCCGCAGCUGGUUCUUGCAUGUUGUGGCUGGUCUGGAUCGGUGGAUAAGCAGGUUCGGUGGACCAGCCCAGGCCAGAUUUUUUUCAAUUCAACAUGAAGUGGGGGUACCUGUGUGUUCAUUCUGUUUAUGCUCUUGUUCUUCCAACCUUUGUAAAUAAUUAUAACAUUGCUGGCAGACGGGUUAUGAUUUUCAAAUGGCACUAUCAGGGCUGGA